AUACGUAUGGGGGCAAGCGUUGUUCGGAUUUAUUGGGCGUAAAGGGCGUGUAGGUGGGGGAUUAAGUUAGUUGUGAAAGCCAUGGGCUUAACUCAUGAAUUGCAUCUAAUACUGGUUCUCUUGAGUUCGGGAGAGGAGAGCGGAAUUCCCGGUGUAGCGGUGAAAUGCGUAGAUAUCGGGAAGAACACCAGUGGCGAAGGCGGCUCUCUAGCCUAGAACUGACACUAAGGCGCGAAAGCGUGGGGAGC
Molecule: ribosomal RNA, 248 nt
Filed under: uncultured bacterium
Lineage: Bacteria
Description: partial 16S ribosomal RNA
Rfam family: Bacterial small subunit ribosomal RNA
Source: RNAcentral